This 253-nucleotide ribosomal RNA is filed under the name uncultured bacterium. RNAcentral's name for it is "partial 16S ribosomal RNA". It matches the Rfam family "Bacterial small subunit ribosomal RNA", at positions 524 to 776 of the family's 1533-position model. The record is from RNAcentral.
UACGAAGGGGGCUAGCGUUGUUCGGAAUCACUGGGCGUAAAGGGUGCGUAGGCGGGCAUUUAAGUCAGGGGUGAAAUCCCGAGGCUCAACCUCGGAACUGCCCUUGAUACUGGAUGUCUUGAGUCCGGAAGAGGUGAGUGGAACUGCGAGUGUAGAGGUGAAAUUCGUAGAUAUUCGGAGGAACACCAGUGGCGAAGGCGGCCCACUGGCUCGACACUGACGCUGAGGCGCGAAAGCGCGGGGAGCAAACAGG